CCUACGGGAGGCAGCAGUAAGGAAUAUUGGACAAUGGACGCAAGUCUGAUCCAGCCAUGCCGCGUGAAGGAUUAAGGCCCUCUGGGUUGUAAACUUCUUUUAUAGGGGACGAAAAAAAGGGCUUUCUAGCUCGUCUGACGGUACCCUAUGAAUAAGCACCGGCUAACUCCGUGCCAGCAGCCGCGGUAAUACGGAGGGUGCAAGCGUUAUCCGGAUUCACUGGGUUUAAAGGGUGCGUAGGCGGGCAGUUAAGUCAGUGGUGAAAUCUUCGAGCUCAACUCGGAAACUGCCAUUGAUACUAUCUGUCUUGAAUACUGUGGAGGUGAGCGGAAUAUGUCAUGUAGCGGUGAAAUGCUUAGAUAUGACAUAGAACACCGAUUGCGAAGGCAGCUCGCUACACAAAUAUUGACGCUGAGGCACGAAAGCGUGGGGGAUCAAACAGGAUUAGAUACCCUGGUAGUCCACGCCCUAAACCUAUGGAUACUCGACAUUUGCGAUACACAGUAAGUGUCUGAGCGAAAGCAUUAAGUAUCCCACCUGGAGUACGACCGCAGUUGAAACUCAAAGGAAUUGAGGCUGAGACGNGCGACGGACGACGACGAGGGAGAGG
RNAcentral lists this ribosomal RNA (610 nucleotides) under uncultured bacterium. RNAcentral's name for it is "bacterial SSU rRNA". It matches the Rfam family "Bacterial small subunit ribosomal RNA", at positions 338 to 953 of the family's 1533-position model. The record is from RNAcentral.